GAUGAAGAACGUAGCAAAAUGCGAUAAGUAAUGUGAAUUGCAGAAUUCAGUGAAUCAUCGAAUCUUUGAACGCACAUUGCGCCCGCUGGUAUUCCAUGGGGCAUGCCUGUUCGAGCGUCAUUUGUACCCUCAAGCUUUGCUUGGUGUUGGGUGUUUGUCCCGCGCUCUUUUGCGCAAGACUCGCCUUAAAUCAAUUGGCAGCCGGCAUGUUAGCCUGGAGCGCAGCACAUUUUGCGCGCCUUGCUUGCUUGUGUUGGCCCCCAUCAAGUCCAUAUAUUUGCUCUUGACCUCGGAUCAGGUAGGGAUACCCGCUGAACUUAAGCAUAUCAAUAAGCGGAGGA
RNAcentral lists this unclassified non-coding RNA (341 nucleotides) under soil metagenome. Its description in RNAcentral is "partial contains 5.8S ribosomal RNA, internal transcribed spacer 2, and large subunit ribosomal RNA". The stretch from base 1 to 120 matches the Rfam family "5.8S ribosomal RNA", at positions 35 to 154 of the family's 154-position model. The record is from RNAcentral.